GGGCAGUGCCCCCGAACCAAUUUUUUUAAAUAAUUUAUACUUUCGGGUUAGAUAAAUACAUCCAAAUAUCCAAUUUAAUAAUACUAACAAAAGGGGAAAAUCACAAUUGAUUUAUGAAAACAAAACUGAGGUUGGAGAAAUUGAAGAGAGAGUAAUUUCUGUUAUCUGCAAGGGCACAAGGCUGCAAGAGAGUCACAGUAGAAUAGAGUCG
RNAcentral lists this long non-coding RNA (211 nucleotides) under Panax ginseng (ginseng). Its description in RNAcentral is "long non-coding RNA (PGIN_LNC008343)". Lineage: Eukaryota; Viridiplantae; Streptophyta; Magnoliopsida; Apiales; Araliaceae. The record is from RNAcentral.